AUACGUAGGGGGCGAGCGUUGUCCGGAAUGACUGGGCGUAAAGGGCGUGUAGGCGGCCGAUUAAGUCUGGAGUGAAAGUCCCGCUUUCAAGGUGGGAAUUGCUUUGGAGACUGGUUGGCUUGAGUGCGGAAGAGGGAAGUGGAAUUCCCAGUGUAGCGGUGAAAUGCGUAGAGAUUGGGAGGAACACCAGUGGCGAAGGCGACUUACUGGGCCGUAACUGACGCUGAGGCGCGAAAGCGUGGGGAGCGAACAGGAUUAGAUACCCUGGUAGUCCACGCUGUAAACGAUGAAUGCUAGGUGUAGGGGGUAUCGACCCCUCCUGUGCCGGAGUAAACGCAAUAAGCAUUCCGCCUGGGGAGUACGGCCGCAAGGUUGAAACUCAAAGGAAUUGACGGGG
This 397-nucleotide ribosomal RNA is filed under the name uncultured bacterium. Its description in RNAcentral is "partial 16S ribosomal RNA". It matches the Rfam family "Bacterial small subunit ribosomal RNA", at positions 523 to 918 of the family's 1533-position model. The record is from RNAcentral.